This is a long non-coding RNA of Dicentrarchus labrax (European seabass), 263 nucleotides long. RefSeq lists it as uncharacterized. The record is from RefSeq and is a predicted model, not a curated record. The transcript is spliced from 3 exons. NCBI's taxonomy places the organism in Eukaryota, Metazoa, Chordata, Actinopteri, Moronidae.
UUUCAGUUUUCGCAGCCGCAAGUAUGGCGACAAGUUUGCUGAGAAGUUGUCCUCCAUUUUGCCAAAAUUCACAACCCUGAGAAAGCUAGAGUUUUGUGGUGCCAGUCUCACUGCCACAGGAGCAGCUAGUUUGGCCUCUGCUCUACAGAACUGUCCAGACGUCACUGAAAUCAAUCUGAGUGACAACAAUCUGAAAGAUGCAGGGAUCGAACACAUAGCUGAUGUUUUUACCAAACUACCAGGACUGGUCUCGGUGCUGCGAG